CAAGUCGAGCGAGAUCUUCGGGUCUAGCGGCGGACGGGUGAGUAACGCGUGGGAACGUGCCCUUUGCUACGGAAUAGUCCUGGGAAACUGGGGGUAAUACCGUAUACGCCCUUUUGGGGAAAGAUUUAUCGGCGAAGGAUCGGCCCGCGUUGGAUUAGGUAGUUGGUGGGGUAAUGGCCUACCAAGCCGACGAUCCAUAGCUGGUUUGAGAGGAUGAUCAGCCACACUGGGACUGAGACACGGCCCAG
RNAcentral lists this ribosomal RNA (248 nucleotides) under uncultured Rhodobacterales bacterium. Its description in RNAcentral is "partial 16S ribosomal RNA". It matches the Rfam family "Bacterial small subunit ribosomal RNA", at positions 58 to 334 of the family's 1533-position model. The record is from RNAcentral. Lineage: Bacteria; Pseudomonadati; Pseudomonadota; Alphaproteobacteria; Rhodobacterales.